AGAGUUUGAUUCUGGCUCAGAACGAACGCUGGCAGCGUGGAUUAGGCAUGCAAGUCGAACGGGAAUCUAUGGAUUCAAGUUUUCGGACGAGAAACUGUAGAGGAUAGUGGCGAAAGGGUGAUAUCGCGUGGGUAAUCUGCCUCUAAGUUGGGGACAACUCUCCGAAAGGAGGGCUAAUACCGAAUGUGAUCUCCUGCCGCAUGGCAGGAUGAUGAAAGGUGGGGAUUCUUCGGAACCUGCCGCUUGGAGAUGAACCCGCGUACCAUCAGCUUGUUGGUGAGGUAAUGGCUCACCAAGGCUUACGGUUAGCCGGCCUGAGAGGGUGAUCGGCCACACUGGGACUGAGACACUGCCCAGACUCCUACGGGAGGCUGCAGUCGAGGAUCAUUGACAAUGCGCGAAAGCGUGAUCAUGCGACGCUGCGUGGAGGAUGACGGCCUUAGGGUUGUAAACUCCUGUCAUUUGGAAAAAAUUCUACGAGGGUUAAUACCCCUUGUAAUUGAUGGUACCAAAAGAGGAAGCCACGGCUAACUCUGUGCCAGCAGCCGCGGUAAUACAGAGGUGGCGAGCGUUGUUCGGAUUUACUGGGCGUAAAGCGUGCGUAGGUGGUUUCGUAUGUCGGGUGUGAAAUCCCACGGCUCAACCGUGGAACUGCAUCCGAAACUGCGGGACUAGAGUACAGGAGGGGAGAGCGGAAUUCUUGGUGUAGCGGUGAAAUGCGUUGAUAUCAAGAAGAACACCGGUGGCGAAGGCGGCUCUCUGGAAUGUUACUGACACUGAAGCACGAAAGUUGGGGGAGCGAACAGGAUUAGAUACCCUGGUAGUCCCAACCGUAAACGUUGUGUACUUGGUGUGGGGGGUAUUGACCCCCUCCGUGCCGGAGCUAACGCGUUAAGUACACCGCCUGGGGAGUACGGCCGCAAGGCUAAAACUCAAAGAAAUUGACGGGGGCCCGCACAAGCGGAGGAGCAUGUGGCUUAAUUCGAUGCAACGCGAAGAACCUUACCAGGGCUUGACAUGCAGCUGCAAGCCCCCCGAAAGGGGGGAAGCCUUCGAGGGUGCUGCACAGGUGCUGCAUGGCUGUCGUCAGUUCGUGCCGUGAGGUGUUGGGUUAAGUCCCGCAACGAACGCAACCCUUGUGUUUAGUUGCCACCGCAGGUGAUGAGCCUGCGAGCACUCUAGACAGACUGCCCGUACAAGCGGGAGGAAGGUGGGGACGACGUCAAGUCAGUAUGGCCCUUACGCCCUGGGCUGCACACGUGCUACAAUGGCCGGUACAAAGGGACGCAAUACCGCGAGGUGGAGCAAAUCCCCAAAACCGGCCUCAGUUCGGAUUGGAGUCUGCAACUCGACUCCAUGAAGUUGGAUUCGCUAGUAACGGCGCAUCAGCUACGGCGCCGUGAAUACGUUCCCGGGCCUUGUACACACCGCCCGUCACAUCAUGAAAGCCGUCUGCACCCGAAGUCGCUGAGCCAACCCGCAAGGGAGGCAGGUGCCGAAGGUGUGGGUGGUGAUUGGGAUGAAGUCGUAACAAGGUA
Molecule: ribosomal RNA, 1538 nt
Filed under: metagenome
Description: bacterial SSU rRNA
Rfam family: Bacterial small subunit ribosomal RNA
Source: RNAcentral